ACAAACUUGGUCAUUUAGAGGAAGUAAAAGUCGUAACAAGGUUUCCGUAGGUGAACCUGCGGAAGGAUCAUUAACGUAUCUCUGACGGGGUCGCGGUGCGCCCUGCUCCGGCCCAAACGGGCCGUGCAGCGGGCCGCCGUCCCUGUCUACAACCUCACAAACCACCGUGAACUUUCCCGGCGGAGGGCUGCUGCCCGAUGCCGCGUACCCCAAACCCCAGUUUGUUAAGAAUGUCGUGCGGUUCUGAACCGCCUAAACACAAAACAACUUUCAACAACGGAUCUCUUGGCUCUCGCAUCGAUGAAGAACGCAGC
RNAcentral lists this unclassified non-coding RNA (314 nucleotides) under uncultured fungus. RNAcentral's name for it is "partial contains small subunit ribosomal RNA, internal transcribed spacer 1, and 5.8S ribosomal RNA". The stretch from base 1 to 73 matches the Rfam family "Eukaryotic small subunit ribosomal RNA", at positions 1759 to 1831 of the family's 1831-position model. The record is from RNAcentral. Lineage: Eukaryota; Fungi.